Molecule: ribosomal RNA, 406 nt
Filed under: uncultured bacterium
Lineage: Bacteria
Description: partial 16S ribosomal RNA
Rfam family: Bacterial small subunit ribosomal RNA
Source: RNAcentral
AUUGAACGCUGGCGGCAGGCCUAACACAUGCAAGUCGAACGAGUGGCGGACGGGUGAGUAAUGUCUGGGAAACUGCCUGAUGGAGGGGGCUAACUACUGGAAACGGUAGCUAAUACCGCAUACCAUCGGAUGUGCCCAGAUUGGCUUAGCUAGUAGGUGGGGUAAAGGCUCACCUAGGCGACGAUUCCUAGCUGGUCUGAGAGGAUGACCAGCCACACUGGAACUGAGACACGGGCCAGACUCCUACGGGAGGCAGCAGAGGGGAAUAUUGCACAAGGGGCGCAAGCCUGAUGCAGCCAUGCCGCGUGUAUGAAGAAGGCCUUCGGGUGGUAAAGUACUUUCAGCGGGGAGGCGUUACCCGCAGAAGAAGCACCGGCUAACUCCGUGCCAGCAGCCGCGGUAAUAC